Anolis carolinensis (green anole) is the source of this 773-nucleotide long non-coding RNA. RefSeq lists it as uncharacterized. NCBI's taxonomy places the organism in Eukaryota, Metazoa, Chordata, Lepidosauria, Squamata, Anolidae. The record is from RefSeq and is a predicted model, not a curated record. The transcript has 2 exons.
AAGACAAAUUAGUAAUGGUAGAACCCAGCUUAGGAGCCUCAUGUGAUAACAUCCUGAGUAUUUCUGCUCAACGUUAGAAGAUUUCUCACACUGAAAAGAACCCUUAUCUUUAUGUAUACAGUAUCAUUAAGACACUAUCUUUAAAGCUUUUUUCCAACUUAAACUGCAAUCGUAUGCAGAAUUAUUCAUGAACAAGUGCUAUUGAACUCAGUGUGUUGUAUUUCCCUGUGAAGUAUGUAAUAAUAAUACACUUUAUUUAUUUUCCGCUCUAUCUCCCCGAGGAGACUCAGAGCGGAUUACAACAUACACAGGCAAACAUUCAAUGCCUUAAUACAGUGGAAUAACAAUGACAUACAAAUACACAGAACAAAGGUAAAGGCUUCCCCUUUCAUCUCCGGCUUUCUGGAAGCGAUGCUCAACUCUGGCCAUGGGGAGGUGCUCUUGUUCCAUUUCCAAGCCGAGAAGAUUGUUGUCUGUAAACACCUCCUGGUUGUGUUUCCAGCAUGGCUGCAUGGGCGCCUUUAUUCUCUUUUCGCCAAAGUGGUAUCUAUUGAUCUACUCACAUUUGUAUGUUUUCAAACUGCUAGGUUGGCAGGAGCUAAGGCUGACAGUGGGAGCUCAUCCUGACCCGUGGUUUCGAAUUGCCAACCUUUAGGGUCUCCUAAUUCUCCAAUGGAAGAACAUCUACCUGGGUUUGGAGUGCAUUGAUAAUGCCAAAAUUGGUCAAGAGGGCAUCUAAUGCAGUGUUCACUUGUAAUAUAGUUGCAAAAGUA